Molecule: long non-coding RNA, 236 nt
Filed under: Mytilus galloprovincialis (Mediterranean mussel)
Lineage: Eukaryota; Metazoa; Mollusca; Bivalvia; Mytilida; Mytilidae
Source: RNAcentral
GCCUGUGACGUCGCUUUUUAUGGCGUUGAUACAUUCGCGUGAGGAACAGUUUUCAAUUUUAUUAGGAUGUUUUGUUUUGUUAUAUCGUAAAUAAAUUUUAGGUAAUUGUUUUUAUUCUGCGGUUUACAUGUCGAAAUGUUUAUUAUAUUAUUUCUUUAUGCAUUUUCCUGAGUAUUCUUGUAUUUAUUUGUACUCUAUUCUUGUCAUGUAAUAGGUGUCAUUAGUGGAAUUCUAAC